GAAUAUUGGACAAUGGGGGGAACCCUGAUCCAGCCAUGCCGCGUGUGUGAAGCAGGCCUUUUGGUUGUAAAGCACUUUAAGCGAGGAGGAGGCUACUCUAGUAACUACCUAGAGAUAGUGGACGUUACUCGCAGAAUCACACCCGGCGAACUCUGUGACAGCAGCCGCGGUAAUACGGAGGGUGCAAGCGUUAAUCGGAUUUACUGGGCGUAAAGCGCGCGUAGGUGGACAAUUAAGUCAAAUGUGAAAUCCCCGAGCUUAACUUGGGAAUUGCAUUCGAUACUGGUUGGCUAGAGUAUGGGAGAGGAUGGUAGAAUUCCAGGUGUAGCGGUGAAAUGCGUAGAGAUCUGGAGGAAUACCGAUGGCGAAGGCAGCCAUCUGGCCUAAUACUGACACUGAGGUGCGAAAGCAUGGGGAGCAAAC
Molecule: ribosomal RNA, 423 nt
Filed under: uncultured bacterium
Lineage: Bacteria
Description: bacterial SSU rRNA
Rfam family: Bacterial small subunit ribosomal RNA
Source: RNAcentral